This 253-nucleotide ribosomal RNA is filed under the name uncultured bacterium. RNAcentral's name for it is "partial 16S ribosomal RNA". It matches the Rfam family "Bacterial small subunit ribosomal RNA", at positions 524 to 776 of the family's 1533-position model. The record is from RNAcentral.
UACGGAGGUCCCAAGCGUUGUUCGGAUUCAUUGGGCGUAAAGGGUGCGUAGGCGGCGCGGUAAGUCGGGUGUGAAAUCUCGGAGCUUAACUCCGAAACUGCAUUCGAUACUGCCGUGCUUGAGGACUGGAGAGGAGACUGGAAUUUACGGUGUAGCGGUGAAAUGCGUAGAUAUCAUAAGGAAGACCAGUGGCGAAGGCGGGUCUCUGGACAGUUCCUGACGCUGAGGCACGAAGGCCAGGGGAGCAAACGGG